UACGUAGGGGGCUAGCGUUGUCCGGAUUUAUUGGGCGUAAAGAGCGUGUAGGCGGCCAGGUAGGUCUGGUGUGAAAACUCGAGGCUUAACCUUGAGAUGUCAUCGGAAACCAUUUGGCUAGAGUCCGGAAGAGGAGAGUGGAAUUCCCGGUGUAGCGGUGAAAUGCGCAGAUAUCAGGAAGAACACCCGUGGCUAAGGCGGCUCUCUAGUACGGUACUGACGCUGAGACGCGAAAGCGUGGGGAGCGAACAGG
RNAcentral lists this ribosomal RNA (253 nucleotides) under uncultured bacterium. RNAcentral's name for it is "partial 16S ribosomal RNA". It matches the Rfam family "Bacterial small subunit ribosomal RNA", at positions 524 to 776 of the family's 1533-position model. The record is from RNAcentral.